This 253-nucleotide ribosomal RNA is filed under the name uncultured bacterium. RNAcentral describes it as "partial 16S ribosomal RNA". It matches the Rfam family "Bacterial small subunit ribosomal RNA", at positions 524 to 776 of the family's 1533-position model. The record is from RNAcentral.
UACGGAGGGAGCUAGCGUUGUUCGGAAUUACUGGGCGUAAAGCGCGCGUAGGCGGUUUUUCAAGUCAGGGGUGAAAUCCCGGAGCUCAACUCCGGAACUGCCCUUGAAACUGGAUGACUAGAAUCCUGGAGAGGUUAGUGGAAUUCCGAGUGUAGAGGUGAAAUUCGUAGAUAUUCGGAAGAACACCAGUGGCGAAGGCGACUGACUGGACAGGUAUUGACGCUGAGGUGCGAAAGCGUGGGGAGCAAACAGG